AUUGAACGCUGGCGGCAGGCUUAACACAUGCAAGUCGAACGGUAACAUAAAGAAGCUUGCUUCUUUGAUGACGAGUGGCGGACGGGUGAGUAAUGCUUGGGAAUCUAGCUUAUGGAGGGGGAUAACUACGGGAAACUGUAGCUAAUACCGCGUAGAAUCGAGAGAUGAAAGUGUGGGACCUUCGGGCCACAUGCCAUAGGAUGAGCCCAAGUGGGAUUAGGUAGUUGGUGAGGUAAAGGCUCACCAAGCCGACGAUCUCUAGCUGGUCUGAGAGGAUGACCAGCCACACUGGGACUGAGACACGGCCCAGACUCCUACGGGAGGCAGCAGUGGGGAAUAUUGCGCAAUGGGGGCAACCCUGACGCAGCCAUGCCGCGUGAAUGAAGAAGGCCUUCGGGUUGUAAAGUUCUUUCGGUAGCGAGGAAGGCAUUUAGUUUAAUAGACUAGGUGAUUGACGUUAACUACAGAAGAAGCACCGGCUAACUCCGUG
RNAcentral lists this ribosomal RNA (490 nucleotides) under uncultured bacterium. Its description in RNAcentral is "bacterial SSU rRNA". It matches the Rfam family "Bacterial small subunit ribosomal RNA", at positions 30 to 507 of the family's 1533-position model. The record is from RNAcentral.